GGUGUAGUCAAAUGGCUUUGGUUUCUUGUCCUUGAUCACUCCUUCAAAGCAGCAUAAACCCAUAUCACUCUCCCUGGAACUUCUGUAGGCUUGGCCUUUGCGGGAGCGGCCGUUGGAUUUGAUGACGUAGUAGCAGUUGGAAGAGAGCGGGCGAUCGAGAACGGGGACGAACCAUACCUUCCUAACCUUCAUGGUCAAUUCAUGGUCUCUGCCGUAAUCGGACAUAUCGUGGAACACGCUGAGGAUCUUGUCCUGAGGGAAAG
RNAcentral lists this long non-coding RNA (263 nucleotides) under Linum usitatissimum (flax). Its description in RNAcentral is "long non-coding RNA (LUSI_LNC000671)". The record is from RNAcentral. Lineage: Eukaryota; Viridiplantae; Streptophyta; Magnoliopsida; Malpighiales; Linaceae.